RNAcentral lists this long non-coding RNA (602 nucleotides) under Equus asinus (donkey). RNAcentral describes it as "lncRNA (ENSEASG00005034904.1)". Lineage: Eukaryota; Metazoa; Chordata; Mammalia; Perissodactyla; Equidae. The record is from RNAcentral.
AACUUCCCAAUCACCCCAUGCUCCCCACCUACCAAGAAAAAAAAAUAGCUGGAGGAGCUGGGGAAGGUUUCAUUCACUUAAGUGGCGACACAUGAGCUGGGGCUUGAAAGAUGAGUAAAAGGUGAAGUUGACAGGCAGAGUCAGGAGCCAGGGCUUCCAGGAAGUGGGGACAGUGUGUUCAAAAGCACUAAGAUGGAGAGACUGAGUCACUAAGAACUGAAGUGGUCACGGUGGCCAAGCUUGCACAGCUGGUAGGUGGCAGCUCUGAGAUUCGGACUCAAGCGAUCUGCUCCAGAGUCAAUGAAUCAUCUGACGAUAAAUGAAAAUGUGUUUCUCGAUGUGGUCCUGCAGAGAGAUUCAUAUCGCCGAGUAGUAAGUUGCUGCUGGUGUUUUCGUUAAUGGGAACUGUAAAAUGAGAAGAUUACGGGUAUUCAUGGUAUGAACAAACAGUGAGACCUACCAUUCUGAAUCAAGCUCAAUUGGAUAUGCGAGAAUUCAGAAAGGAAUUUGUGUUGCCUGUUCAGGUUUGACAUCCCCAAACCUGGAGGAAAUUUAGAGUCACCAACCAGAUGGACACUUUUACAGACCAAAAAAUGAAGAUC